RNAcentral lists this ribosomal RNA (118 nucleotides) under Pteropus alecto (black flying fox). Lineage: Eukaryota; Metazoa; Chordata; Mammalia; Chiroptera; Pteropodidae. The record is from RNAcentral.
GUCUAUGGCCAUGCCACCCUAAACAUGCUCAAUCUCAUUUGAUCUUGAAAGCUAAGCAGGUCGGGCCUGGUUAGUACUUGGAUGGGAGACCACCUAGGAAUACCAGAUGCUGUAGGCG